This 253-nucleotide ribosomal RNA is filed under the name uncultured bacterium. Its description in RNAcentral is "partial 16S ribosomal RNA". It matches the Rfam family "Bacterial small subunit ribosomal RNA", at positions 524 to 776 of the family's 1533-position model. The record is from RNAcentral.
UACGGAGGGGGCUAGCGUUGUUCGGAAUUACUGGGCGUAAAGCGCGCGUAGGCGGAUCUGCAAGUCGGGAGUGAAAUCCCGAGGCUCAACCUCGGAACUGCCUUCGAUACUGCGGGUCUCGAGUCCGGGAGAGGUGAGUGGAAUUCCUAGUGUAGAGGUGAAAUUCGUAGAUAUUAGGAAGAACACCAGUGGCGAAGGCGGCUCACUGGCCCGGUACUGACGCUGAGGCGCGAAAGCGUGGGGAGCAAACAGG